UCUUGAACGCAUAUUGCGGCCAUGGGUUAGCCUGUGGCCACGCCUGUCCGAGGGUCGGCUUAUAAACUAUCACGACGCCCAAAAAGUCGUGGCUUGGGUUUUGCCAGCUGGCGUGAUCUCCUCUAUGAGUAAUCAUGUGAGGUGCCAGAUCUAUGGCGUUUCCCUAAUGUAUCCGGAUGCACCCUUGUCUUGGCAGAAAGCCGUGGUGAGGUGCAGUGGCGGAAUCGUGGUUUAAUAAUCGGGUUGGUACUCAGUUGUCAGUGUGUUCGGCGAUCCCCUAGUCGGCACACUCAUGAUUUCUGGGAUAAUUCCAUACCAGGCACGUUCCGUUACUGUUACUUUGUCAUUGGUUUGAUGCUGAACUUGGUCAUGUGUCUGAUGCUAUUUCAUAUAACGACGGUACCCUUCGUGGUCUGUCUUCCUGACCUCGGUUCAGACGUGAUUACCCGCUGAACUUAAGCAUAUCACUAAGCGGAGGA
Molecule: ribosomal RNA, 479 nt
Filed under: Fasciola gigantica
Lineage: Eukaryota; Metazoa; Platyhelminthes; Trematoda; Plagiorchiida; Fasciolidae
Description: eukaryotic LSU rRNA
Rfam family: Eukaryotic large subunit ribosomal RNA (bases 423-479)
Source: RNAcentral